This 1461-nucleotide ribosomal RNA is filed under the name uncultured bacterium. RNAcentral describes it as "bacterial SSU rRNA". It matches the Rfam family "Bacterial small subunit ribosomal RNA". The record is from RNAcentral.
AUUGAACGCUGGCGGCACGGCCUAACACAUGCAAGUCGAGCGGAUGACAGGACGCUUGCUCCUGAAUUCAGCGGCGGACGGGUGAGUAAUGCCUAGGAAUCUGCCUGGUAGUGGGGGACAACGUUUCGAAAGGAACGCUAAUACCGCAUACGUCCUACGGGAGAAAGCAGGGGACCUUCGGGCCUUGCGCUAUCAGAUGAGCCUAGGUCGGAUUAGCUAGUUGGUGAGGUAAUGGCUCACCAAGGCGACGAUCCGUAACUGGUCUGAGAGGAUGAUCAGUCACACUGGAACUGAGACACGGCCCAGACUCCUACGGGAGGCAGCAGUGGGGAAUAUUGGACAAUGGGCGAAAGCCUGAUCCAGCCAUGCCGCGUGUGUGAAGAAGGUCUUCGGAUUGUAAAGCACUUUAAGUUGGGAGGAAGGGUUGUAGAUUAAUACUCUGCAAUUUUGACGUUACCGACAGAAUAAGCACCGGCUAACUCUGUGCCAGCAGCCGCGGUAAUACAGAGGGUGCAAGCGUUAAUCGGAAUUACUGGGCGUAAAGCGCGCGUAGGUGGUUUGUUAAGUUGGAUGUGAAAGCCCCGGGCUCAACCUGGGAACUGCAUUCAAAACUGACAAGCUAGAGUAUGGUAGAGGGUGGUGGAAUUUCCUGUGUAGCGGUGAAAUGCGUAGAUAUAGGAAGGAACACCAGUGGCGAAGGCGACCACCUGGACUGAUACUGACACUGAGGUGCGAAAGCGUGGGGGAGCAAACAGGAUUAGAUACCCUGGUAGUCCACGCCGUAAACGAUGUCAACUAGCCGUUGGGGACCUUGAGUCUUUAGUGGCGCAGCUAACGCAUUAAGUUGACCGCCUGGGGAGUACGGCCGCAAGGUUAAAACUCAAAUGAAUUGACGGGGGCCCGCACAAGCGGUGGAGCAUGUGGUUUAAUUCGAAGCAACGCGAAGAACCUUACCAGGCCUUGACAUCCAAUGAACUUUCCAGAGAUGGAUUGGUGCCUUCGGGAGCAUUGAGACAGGUGCUGCAUGGCUGUCGUCAGCUCGUGUCGUGAGAUGUUGGGUUAAGUCCCGUAACGAGCGCAACCCUUGUCCUUAGUUACCAGCACGUUAUGGUGGGCACUCUAAGGAGACUGCCGGUGACAAACCGGAGGAAGGUGGGGAUGACGUCAAGUCAUCAUGGCCCUUACGGCCUGGGCUACACACGUGCUACAAUGGUCGGUACAGAGGGUUGCCAAGCCGCGAGGUGGAGCUAAUCCCACAAAACCGACCGUAGUCCGGAUCGCAGUCUGCAACUCGACUGCGUGAAGUCGGAAUCGCUAGUAAUCGCGAAUCAGAAUGUCGCGGUGAAUACGUUCCCGGGCCUUGUACACACCGCCCGCCACACCAUGGGAGUGGGUUGCACCAGAAGUAGCUAGUCUAACCUUCGGGAGGACGGUUACCACGGUGUGAUUCAUGACUGGGGU